CGCUGGCGGCAGGCCUAACACAUGCAAGUCGAGCGGCAGCACGGGUACUUGUACCUGGUGGCGAGCGGCGGACGGGUGAGUAAUGCCUAGGAAUCUGCCUAGUAGUGGGGGAUAACGUUCGGAAACGGACGCUAAUACCGCAUACGUCCUACGGGAGAAAGUGGGGGAUCUUCGGACCUCACGCUAUUAGAUGAGCCUAGGUCGGAUUAGCUAGUUGGUAGGGUAAAGGCCUACCAAGGCUACGAUCCGUAACUGGUCUGAGAGGAUGAUCAGUCACACUGGAACUGAGACACGGUCCAGACUCCUACGGGAGGCAGCAGUGGGGAAUAUUGGACAAUGGGCGAAAGCCUGAUCCAGCCAUGCCGCGUGUGUGAAGAAGGUCUUCGGAUUGUAAAGCACUUUAAGUUGGGAGGAAGGGCAGUAAGCUAAUAUCUUGCUGUUUUGACGUUACCGACAGAAUAAGCACCGGCUAACUCUGUGCCAGCAGCCGCGGUAAUACAGAGGGUGCAAGCGUUAAUCGGAAUUACUGGGCGUAAAGCGCGCGUAGGUGGUUGGUUAAGUUGAAUGUGAAAUCCCCG
This 578-nucleotide ribosomal RNA is filed under the name uncultured Gammaproteobacteria bacterium. RNAcentral describes it as "bacterial SSU rRNA". It matches the Rfam family "Bacterial small subunit ribosomal RNA", at positions 34 to 605 of the family's 1533-position model. Lineage: Bacteria; Pseudomonadati; Pseudomonadota; Gammaproteobacteria. The record is from RNAcentral.